RNAcentral lists this non-coding RNA (115 nucleotides) under Rhodococcus sp. RD6.2. RNAcentral describes it as "TPP". The stretch from base 10 to 111 matches the Rfam family "TPP riboswitch aptamer (THI element)", at positions 10 to 89 of the family's 105-position model. Rfam says of the family: Vitamin B(1) in its active form thiamin pyrophosphate (TPP) is an essential coenzyme that is synthesised by coupling of pyrimidine and thiazole moieties in bacteria. The previously detected thiamin-regulatory element, thi box was extended, resulting in a new, highly conserved RNA secondary structure, the THI element, which is widely distributed in eubacteria and also occurs in some archaea. Analysis of operon structures identified a large number of new candidate thiamin-regulated genes, mostly transporters, in various prokaryotic organisms. The record is from RNAcentral. Lineage: Bacteria; Bacillati; Actinomycetota; Actinomycetes; Mycobacteriales; Nocardiaceae.
UCAACAACCCACGGGGGCUCGCACCAGCGGGCUGAGAGGACGGCUAGCUCAUCACGAGCGAUCAGGGCCGUCGACCGUAUGAACCUGACCGGGUAAUGCCGGCGUAGGGAGAAUC